This 537-nucleotide ribosomal RNA is filed under the name uncultured Lake Michigan sediment bacterium LMBA35. RNAcentral's name for it is "bacterial SSU rRNA". It matches the Rfam family "Bacterial small subunit ribosomal RNA", at positions 28 to 553 of the family's 1533-position model. The record is from RNAcentral. Lineage: Bacteria; Pseudomonadati; Acidobacteriota.
AAUCAACGCUGGCGGCGUGCCUAACACAUGCAAGUHGAACGCNAAASGSGAGCAAUCCUGAVUAGAGUGGCAAACGGGUGAGUAACACGUGGGUGACCUGCCUUCGAGUGGGGGAAACCUUCCGAAAGGAGGGCUAAUACCGCAUGACAUACCGUGUUUGGAUACACGGAUAUCAAGCCGGGGHUCGCAAGCACUGGCGCUUGAAGAGGGGCCCGCGUCCGAUUAGCUAGUUGUGAGGUAACGGCUCACCAAGGCUCCGAUCGGUAUCCGGCCUGAGAGGGCGGACGGACACCUGGGACUGAGACACGGUCCAGACUCCUACGGGAGGCAGCAGUGGGGAAUUGUUCGCHAGGGCGAAAGCCUGACGACGCAACGCCGCGUGGAGGAUGAAGAUUUUCGGUUCGUAAACUCUUUCGACCGAGAUGAAUACCCAUGGCCCCAACACGUCCGUGGGCUGACAGUAUCGAGAAAGAAGCCCCGGCUAACUCUGUGCCAGCAGCCGCGGUAAUACAGGGGGGGCAAGCGUUGUCGGAAUUA